Long non-coding RNA from Corapipo altera (White-ruffed manakin), 489 nucleotides. RefSeq lists it as uncharacterized. Lineage: Eukaryota; Metazoa; Chordata; Aves; Passeriformes; Pipridae. The record is from RefSeq and is a predicted model, not a curated record. The transcript is spliced from 2 exons.
GCUGGGACAGACUUCAUUGCCCAUGGACUCUGGGAAAAGCAGGUGUCCCAGAAGAGACAAGUCAUGAGCCCUGAGGCUGAGGACGAGAUUACAAAGGAAGGGAGAGGCAAGAGGGAAAACUUCCAUCCCAACCUGAUUUUGGGGGUAUUGGGAGCAAAAGGAGGGAGGUCCAUUUUGCACAUCUCUGCCUUCAAAAUGCCAUUUAAACUCUCUGUGAAGCAAUUUUAUAAAAAUUCCUUUUAUUUAUUCACCUGGCUGAAGUCACUUUAACUCCCCGUGGAAAUGCUUCUCCUGGGCCAGACAGACCUUUCAUGUGGGUUCCACAGCGAGAGCCAGGGUGCAGAGGAGACUUCAGCGAGAUGGAGAAGGUCAGAAUUAAGGACCAACACCUUUUUUGCCCUGUUUUCUUUCUUCACAGCUUCCAUGCAGUCAGCAGAUUUUGUCUUGGAAUUUCUUGAAUCUGUUUUUUUCCUCCAGAAGGCAAAAAAA